This 710-nucleotide long non-coding RNA is filed under the name Heterocephalus glaber (naked mole-rat). Its description in RNAcentral is "lncRNA (ENSHGLG00000040266.1)". The record is from RNAcentral. Lineage: Eukaryota; Metazoa; Chordata; Mammalia; Rodentia; Bathyergidae.
AAGCUGACAACCUCUAUGUACCUGCAGAAUCCAAAUUGGUAUAUGUCAUUAGGACCAGAGGUGUCAAUGUUGUUAUCUCAAAGCUCUGUAAGGUGUUGCAGCUUCUUCACCUAUACCAGAUCUUCAGUGGCACUUUUGUGCCUCUCAGCAUGCUGAGGGUUGUGGAACUAUAUAUUGCAUGGGCCUCUCCAAACCUAAAGUCAAUAAAUGGAGUAACUGCAAGUGUGGUUAUGGCAAAAUCAAUAAGAAGCAAAUGACCCUGAAAGAUAACUCAUCAAUUGCUCAAUCUCUUGAUUUUUGUAAGCAUGAUAAACACAUAUAUGGAGAAGAAGUAGAAAACUUUGAGAGCCAUUGGUGGACCAAUUGGUUUCCAGACAAAUUGUUCAUUGAAAUGACCUAACAGGUAAAAAAGAUUUUGGUUAAAUGUUCAAAAUGGAAAAUAAUUAAAGCACUACUCCUUGAGCUAUGUUGAAUAACUUGCACCAAUAUAAUAAACACAAUUUAAAAAUUAGUUGUAGCAAUCUUUUUAUUUAAUAUGACACCAUUUUAAUGCAACAAAAAUGAAUUUAGAUUUGUUUAGUAUUUGAGAGCAAUACUGAGAAUAAAAAGGUUCUGAUUAUGGCAUUCAUUAGUUUUAUUUUCAGCAAUGUGACAUUUUUCACUUGUAUUUUAAUUUGAAAAUAUAUAUUAUUUACUUAUUAAUUUGUCCA